UUGUAUAACAUUUACAAAAUAAUUAUUAACGAUCAAUUAGCACGCCGCUGUUAGCACGACGUGUAGUUUGAAAUCAUAAUAACAUUAAUGGUUCACACGCUUGGUCAUAAUUCAUUCAAAAUACAAUAACUGUGACAAGUGAUGUUGAACGGUUUUCAAUUUCCACAUGGACAGAAAAAUAAACAACGAAGAAUUUUUCAUUUUAAUAGUUCCUAUGAUAAUAUUAUGUCAAUACGUGUUCAUAAACUAUGUACGGUAAAUACAAAAUUGUACAUAAUACAGUUAAGUAUGCACGUCAUACUAUUCACGUGAAAUAUGAAGAUUCCCAACAUGUGUAGUUAUACAAUGCAGUCAAAAGUUCUUGUCAAAGCUUAAUUGAAAUAUAUAGAUUUCAUGGUUCCAAUAUGAAACACCUAUGAGGAAUUUUGUAUUCAAUUUUCAAAACUUACAUACAAAAAGAAAAGAUUUUAUACAUUUUUAACUACAAAAAGGUUAAUACCACUGUAACACGCCCUUUUACCUGCGUCGGAUUAAGUCGGACAUCAAUUUUAAAGCACUAUUGUCGCAGUGCACCGAAAUAUGAUGAUUAUCUAUACUACACGUCAUAAUGUGCACAUGAUACUGCACAGUGCGCACGAAUUAACUACUACUGAGAAUAAUGACGUGAACGCUGAUCGUCGAACACGCGUGCUUUUCGGCACUCAUGAAGACUGCAGACGGACGAGUCUGUGUUACCCCAAAAUACAGUAUAAAAUUUUUGGACCCCAGAAAAUAAUUCCUGCCUGGGCCCUCAGGUACUCAGGCCGACCCAGAUUGUAACCUGUAGUAUGAUUAAUAAAAUAUUA
Long non-coding RNA from Rhopalosiphum padi (bird cherry-oat aphid), 845 nucleotides. RefSeq lists it as uncharacterized. NCBI's taxonomy places the organism in Eukaryota, Metazoa, Arthropoda, Insecta, Hemiptera, Aphididae. The transcript has 3 exons. The record is from RefSeq and is a predicted model, not a curated record.